RNAcentral lists this long non-coding RNA (111 nucleotides) under Oryzias sinensis (Chinese medaka). RNAcentral describes it as "lncRNA (ENSOSIG00000020688.1)". Lineage: Eukaryota; Metazoa; Chordata; Actinopteri; Beloniformes; Adrianichthyidae. The record is from RNAcentral.
UGAUCCCAAGAGCCUUUAUCCCUUUUAUUUAAAAUAAUUGGCUGUGAGAAACGUAUGAUAUGUAGAAACGACGUGCAAGGGCUCCUGAGGUGAAAAAUUCUCCUGUUCAUC